RNAcentral lists this ribosomal RNA (402 nucleotides) under bacterium. RNAcentral describes it as "partial 16S ribosomal RNA". It matches the Rfam family "Bacterial small subunit ribosomal RNA", at positions 355 to 776 of the family's 1533-position model. The record is from RNAcentral.
UGGGGAAUUUUGCACAAUGGGGGAAACCCUGAUGCAGCGACGCCGCGUGAUUUAGAAGGCCUUCGGGUUGUAAAAAUCUUUUCUAUGGGAAGAAAAUGACAGUACCAUAGGAAUAAGGACCGGCUAAUUACGUGCCAGCAGCCGCGGUAAUACGUAAGGUCCGAGCGUUGUCCGGAAUCAUUGGGCGUAAAGGGUACGUAGGCGGGUAAGCAAGUUAGAAGUGAAAUCCUAUAGCUCAACUAUAGUAAGCUUUUAAAACUGCUCAUCUUGAGGUAUGGAAGGGAAAGUGGAAGUACUAGUGUAGCGGUGAAAUGCGCAGAUAUUAGGAGGAAGACCGGUGGCGAAGGCGACUUUCUGGCCAUAACCUGACGCUGAGGUACGAAAGCGUGGGUAGCAAGCAAG